Non-coding RNA from Paramuricea clavata, 543 nucleotides. The record is from the annotation of a GenBank genome assembly. Lineage: Eukaryota; Metazoa; Cnidaria; Anthozoa; Malacalcyonacea; Plexauridae.
CCCUCGUUAUCGUACGAAUAUUGAUUUUGAUAUAUUUCAAAAGGCCAUUAGUAAAUGAUGCAUGCUUUAUAUUGCAUCGGAUUUGGUUUCUAACAUGAGGUCAAAUACGGACGAUGAUGUGAUGAUGUUUUAAUAAUUGAAUCGAAAGAUCUGAAAACAGUUUUACAUCUGGUAUUGUGUGGAUUGGACUUUGUAACGUGGUUGUCAUAUUUUGCCGGAUAAAAUGUCUGAAUUUGAAAUCAUGAGGCAACGCACGAAUGAUUUGAAUAGUGAAAAAGUUUUUCAGCUAUAAACAAGCAUUUUUGCAAUGUUGGCUCGCUUCAAAUUGUAAAAAUAUUGCACCUUUCUUUAUUUUGUUUUACACAAAAGGACCCAAUAUGUUAGCAUGAAAAUAAACCCACACUUCUAUUUUUAUGUAAAACAGAAAUGGCCGACUGAACAGGUCAUUUCCUUCAUAUGCAAAAUAUAAAUAUUCCAGUAUCAUUCACGUGUUCAUAGCCUUUUGCAUUCAACCGCAUGUCACAACCUGUUCUUUUGAACUAC